UACGUAGGGUGCAAGCGUUAAUCGGAAUUACUGGGCGUAAAGCGUGCGCAGGCGGCUUUGCAAGACAGAUGUGAAAUCCCCGGGCUUAACCUGGGAACCGCAUUUGUGACUGCAUAGCUGGAGUACGGCAGAGGGGGAUGGAAUUCCGCGUGUAGCAGUGAAAUGCGUAGAUAUGCGGAGGAACACCGAUGGCGAAGGCAAUCCCCUGGACCUGUACUGACGCUCAUGCACGAAAGCGUGGGGAGCAAACAGG
RNAcentral lists this ribosomal RNA (253 nucleotides) under uncultured bacterium. RNAcentral's name for it is "partial 16S ribosomal RNA". It matches the Rfam family "Bacterial small subunit ribosomal RNA", at positions 524 to 776 of the family's 1533-position model. The record is from RNAcentral.